Non-coding RNA from Lemur catta (Ring-tailed lemur), 887 nucleotides. Lineage: Eukaryota; Metazoa; Chordata; Mammalia; Primates; Lemuridae. The record is from the annotation of a RefSeq genome assembly.
CAGGGUCCCCUAGACAUGAGCCAGGACACCCUCCCCUCUCCAUGCCUUGAAUUUGUUUUCCUCCUUGACCCAUGUCACUGUGUGAACACUGAAGUUUUCUUUGGAGAAGGCACCAGGCUUGCAGUUGUAGAGGACCUGAAAAAGGUGACCCCACCCAAGGUGGCUGUGUUUGAACCCUCGGAAGCAGAGAUCUCCCGCACCCAGAAAGCCACGCUCGUGUGCCUGGCCACAGGCUUCUACCCCGACCACGUGGAGCUGAGCUGGUGGGUGAACGGGAAGGAGGUGCAGAGCGGGGUCAGCACGGACCCCCAGCCCUACAAGGAGCAGCCCGGCCUCAACGACUCCACCUACUGCCUGAGCAGCCGCCUGAGGGUAUCGGCCACCUUCUGGCACAAUCCCCGCAACCGCUUCCGCUGCCAAGUCCGGUUCUACGGGCUCACAGAGGAAGACGAGUGGACCCAGGAUACACCCAAACCCAUCACCCAGAAUAUCAUUGCUGAGGCCUGGGGCAGAGCAGACUGUGGCUUCACCUCGGUGUCCUACCAGCAAGGGGUCCUGUCUGCCACUGUCCUCUAUGAGAUCCUGCUGGGGAAGGCCACCGUGUAUGCUGUGCUGGUCAGCGCCCUCGUGCUGAUGGCCAUGGUCAAGAGAAAGGAUUCCUGAAGCCAGCUCUGGAGGUGGAGCCAGAAGUUUCCCACCCGUUACAGAGUCAGUACGCAUUUUCCUUCUGCCAGUGCUUCUGAAUGCUGCUCUCACCUCUACGUAUCCCAAUGUCUGCCCCCUGUGCUUGCGUGCCUGCACGCUCCUGGCUGAAGUCUCCCCAACCCAGAGAGGCCCCUAGUGUGACUCAGUGACUGAACCAAUAAAAACGUCCUGGUCUGGCCUGA